This 262-nucleotide ribosomal RNA is filed under the name uncultured archaeon. Its description in RNAcentral is "partial 16S ribosomal RNA". It matches the Rfam family "Archaeal small subunit ribosomal RNA", at positions 719 to 982 of the family's 1478-position model. The record is from RNAcentral.
AGUCACUGACAUUAGAUACCCGGGUAGUCCAGGGUGUAAACGCUGCAGACUUGGUGUUGGAAGUCCUUUGGGGCAUUCAGUGCCGGAGAGAAGUUGUUAAGUCUGCUACUUGGGAGUACGUCCGCAAGGAUGAAACUUAAAGGAAUUGGCGGGGAGCACCGCAACGGGUGGAGCCUGCGGUUUAAUUGGACUCAACGCCGGAAAUCUCACCGGAUAGGACAGACAUAUGAUAGUCGGGCUGAAGACUCUACUUGAUGAUCUG